UACGUAGGUGGCAAGCGUUGUCCGGAUUUAUUGGGCGUAAAGCGCGCGCAGGCGGUCCCUUAAGUCUGAUGUGAAAGCCCACGGCUCAACCGUGGAGGGUCAUUGGAAACUGGGGGACUUGAGUACAGAAGAGGAAAGCGGAAUUCCACGUGUAGCGGUGAAAUGCGUAGAGAUGUGGAGGAACACCAGUGGCGAAGGCGGCUUUCUGGUCUGGAACUGACGCUGAGGCGCGAAAGCGAGGGGAGCAAACAGG
RNAcentral lists this ribosomal RNA (253 nucleotides) under uncultured bacterium. RNAcentral describes it as "partial 16S ribosomal RNA". It matches the Rfam family "Bacterial small subunit ribosomal RNA", at positions 524 to 776 of the family's 1533-position model. The record is from RNAcentral.